Molecule: antisense RNA, 75 nt
Filed under: Streptomyces sp. 846.5
Lineage: Bacteria; Bacillati; Actinomycetota; Actinomycetes; Kitasatosporales; Streptomycetaceae
Description: ASpks TB sRNA
Rfam family: ASpks TB sRNA
Source: Rfam by way of RNAcentral
CUUGAGCGAACCGAUCCACAACGGCCGGUUCUCGUCCCGGUCCUGGCCGUAGGCGGCGAUCAGGGCCUGGGCCUC